Molecule: transfer RNA, 73 nt
Filed under: Bos indicus (zebu cattle)
Lineage: Eukaryota; Metazoa; Chordata; Mammalia; Artiodactyla; Bovidae
Rfam family: tRNA
About the family: Transfer RNA (tRNA) molecules are approximately 80 nucleotides in length. Their secondary structure includes four short double-helical elements and three loops (D, anti-codon, and T loops).
Source: Rfam by way of RNAcentral
UCCCUGGUGGCUCAGACGGUAAAAGCAUCUGCCUGCAAUGCAGGAGACCAGGGUUCGAUUCCUGGGUCGGGAA